Molecule: transfer RNA, 83 nt
Organism: Oryctolagus cuniculus (rabbit)
Lineage: Eukaryota; Metazoa; Chordata; Mammalia; Lagomorpha; Leporidae
Rfam family: tRNA
About the family: Transfer RNA (tRNA) molecules are approximately 80 nucleotides in length. Their secondary structure includes four short double-helical elements and three loops (D, anti-codon, and T loops).
Source: Rfam
GGUGCUGUGGUGCAGUGGGUUAACACCUUGGCCUGAAGUGCCAGCAUCCCAUAUGCGUGCAGGUUCAAGACCUGGCUGCUCCA